AUACGAAGGGUGCAAGCGUUACUCGGAAUUACUGGGCGUAAAGCGUGCGUAGGUGGUUUUUUAAGUCUGCUGUGAAAGCCCCGGGCUCAACCUGGGAAUUGCAGUGGAUACUGGAGAGCUAGAGUGCGGUAGAGGGUAGUGGAAUUCCCGGUGUAGCGGUGAAAUGCGUAGAGAUCGGGAGGAACACCAGUGGCGAAGGCGGCUACCUGGACCAGCA
This 217-nucleotide ribosomal RNA is filed under the name Salmonella enterica subsp. enterica. RNAcentral's name for it is "partial 16S ribosomal RNA". It matches the Rfam family "Bacterial small subunit ribosomal RNA", at positions 523 to 739 of the family's 1533-position model. The record is from RNAcentral. Lineage: Bacteria; Pseudomonadati; Pseudomonadota; Gammaproteobacteria; Enterobacterales; Enterobacteriaceae.